RNAcentral lists this ribosomal RNA (497 nucleotides) under uncultured bacterium. RNAcentral describes it as "partial 16S ribosomal RNA". It matches the Rfam family "Bacterial small subunit ribosomal RNA", at positions 28 to 507 of the family's 1533-position model. The record is from RNAcentral.
GAUGAACGCUGGCGGCGUGCCUAAUACAUGCAAGUCGAGCGAACAGACGAGGAGCUUGCUCCUCUGACGUUAGCGGCGGACGGGUGAGUAACACGUGGAUAACCUACCUAUAAGACUGGGAUAACUUCGGGAAACCGGAGCUAAUACCGGAUAAUAUAUUGAACCGCAGGGUUCAAUAGUGAAAGACGGUUUUGCUGUCACUUAUAGAUGGAUCCGCGCCGCAUUAGCUAGUUGGUAAGGUAACGGCUUACCAAGGCAACGAUGCGUAGCCGACCUGAGAGGGUGAUCGGCCACACUGGAACUGAGACACGGUCCAGACUCCUACGGGAGGCAGCAGUAGGGAAUCUUCCGCAAUGGGCGAAAGCUUGACGGAGCAACGCCGCGUGAGUGAUGAAGGUCUUCGGAUCGUAAAACUCUGUUAUUAGGGAAGAACAACUGUGUAAGUAACUAUGCACGUCUUGACGGUACCUAAUCAGAAAGCCACGGCUAACUACGUG